CCUACGGGCGGCAGCAGUGGGGAAUAUUGGACAAUGGGCGCAAGCCUGACCCAGCAACGCCGCGUGAAGGAAGAAGGCUUUCGGUUUGUAAACCUCUUUUCUCAGGGACGAAGAAAGUGACGGUACCUGAGGAAUAAGCCACGGCUAACUACGUGACAGCAGCCGCGGUAAUACGUAGGUGGCAAGCGUUCUCCGGAUUUAGUGGGUGUAAGGGGCGUGUAGGCGGGAGCGCAAGUCAGAUGUGAAAUCUCAGGGCUCAACCCUGGGCCUGCAUUUGAAACUGUGUAGCUUGAGUGCUGGAGAGGCAAGCGGAAUUCCGGGUGUAGCGGUGAAAUGCGUAGAUAUACGGAGGAACACCAGUGGCGAAGGCGGAUUGCUGGACAGUAACUGACGCUGAGGCGCGAAAGCGUGGGGAGCAAACAGGAUUAGAUACCCUUGUAGUC
RNAcentral lists this ribosomal RNA (443 nucleotides) under uncultured bacterium. RNAcentral's name for it is "partial 16S ribosomal RNA". It matches the Rfam family "Bacterial small subunit ribosomal RNA", at positions 338 to 795 of the family's 1533-position model. The record is from RNAcentral.